Molecule: ribosomal RNA, 542 nt
Filed under: uncultured bacterium
Lineage: Bacteria
Description: bacterial SSU rRNA
Rfam family: Bacterial small subunit ribosomal RNA
Source: RNAcentral
CAGCAGUAGGGAAUUUUCCGCAAUGGGCGAAAGCCUGACGGAGCAAUACCGCGUGAGGGAAGAAUGCCUAUGGGUUGUAAACCUCUUUUUUCAGGGAGGAACAUAAUGACGUGUACCUGAAGAAUAAGCAUCGGCUAACUCCGUGCCAGCAGCCGCGGUAAGACGGAGGAUGCAAGUGUUAUCCGGAAUCACUGGGCGUAAAGCGUCUGUAGGUGGUUUAAUAAGUCAACUGUUAAAUCUUGAGGCUCAACCUCAAAAUCGCAGUCGAAACUAUUAGACUAGAGUAUAGUAGGGGUAAAGGGAAUUUCCAGUGGAGCGGUGAAAUGCGUAGAGAUUGGAAAGAACACCGAUGGCGAAAGCACUUUACUGGGCUAUUACUGACACUCAGAGACGAAAGCUAGGGUAGCAAAUGGGAUUAGAUACCCCAGUAGUCCUAGCUGUAAACUAUGGAUACUAGAUGUUGAACAGAUCGACCUGUGCAGUAUCAAAGCUAACGCGUUAAGUAUCCCGCCUGGGAAGUAUGCUCGCAAGGGUGAAACUCA